AGUCUUAUAGUUUAUUUAAUAAAAUGUUAAAUUGCAAAUUUAAAGAAAUAAUUUUAAGACUU
This 62-nucleotide transfer RNA is filed under the name Alectorobius microlophi. RNAcentral's name for it is "tRNA-Cys". The record is from RNAcentral. Lineage: Eukaryota; Metazoa; Arthropoda; Arachnida; Ixodida; Argasidae.